This 497-nucleotide ribosomal RNA is filed under the name uncultured bacterium. Its description in RNAcentral is "partial 16S ribosomal RNA". It matches the Rfam family "Bacterial small subunit ribosomal RNA", at positions 28 to 507 of the family's 1533-position model. The record is from RNAcentral.
GACGAACGCUGGCGGCGUGCCUAAUACAUGCAAGUUGAGCGCUGAAGGCUGGUACUUGUACCAACUGGAUGAGCAGCGAACGGGUGAGUAACUCGUGGGGAAUCUGACUCUGAGCGGGGGACAACAUUUGGAAACGAAUGCUAAUACCGCAUAAAAACUUUAAACACAAGUUUUAAGUUUGAAAGAUGCAAUUGCAUCACUCAAAGACGAUCCCGCGUUGUAUUAGCUAGUUGGUGAGGUAAAGGCUCACCAAGGCGAUGAUACAUAGCCGACCUGAGAGGGUGAGCGGCGACGUUGGGACUGAGGCACGGCCCAAACUCCUACGAGAGGCAGCAGUAGGGAAUCUUCGGCAAUGGACGAAAGUCUGACCGAGCAACGCCGCGUGAGUGAAGAAGGUAUUCGGAUCGUAAAACUCUGUUGGUAGAGAAGAAUGUUGGUGUGAGUGGAAAGCUCAUCAAGUGACGGUAACUACCCAGAAAGGGACGGCUAACUACGUG